UGGGGAGUAGCCAAGUGGUAAGGCAACGGGUUUUGAUCCCGUGUACCGGGGGUUCGAAUCCCUCCUCCCCAGCCA
This 75-nucleotide transfer RNA is filed under the name Patescibacteria group bacterium. RNAcentral's name for it is "tRNA-Gln". It matches the Rfam family "tRNA". From Rfam's summary of the family: Transfer RNA (tRNA) molecules are approximately 80 nucleotides in length. Their secondary structure includes four short double-helical elements and three loops (D, anti-codon, and T loops). Further hydrogen bonds mediate the characteristic L-shaped molecular structure. tRNAs have two regions of fundamental functional importance: the anti-codon, which is responsible for specific mRNA codon recognition, and the 3' end, to which the tRNAs corresponding amino acid is attached (by aminoacyl-tRNA synthetases). tRNAs cope with the degeneracy of the genetic code in two manners: having more than one tRNA (with a specific anti-codon) for a particular amino acid; and 'wobble' base-pairing, i.e. permitting non-standard base-pairing at the 3rd anti-codon position. The record is from RNAcentral.